Molecule: ribosomal RNA, 955 nt
Filed under: uncultured bacterium
Lineage: Bacteria
Description: bacterial SSU rRNA
Rfam family: Bacterial small subunit ribosomal RNA
Source: RNAcentral
AUUCAGCUGCUAGAGAUGACGAGUGGCGGACGGGUGAGUAAUGCUUGGGAACAUGCCUUUGUGAGGGGGAUAACUAUUGGAAACGAUAGCUAAUACCGCAUAAUGUUUUCGGACCAAAGCGGGCUUUUGCUCGUGCACAAAGAGUGGCCCAAGUGAGAUUAGCUAGUUGGUGGGGUAAAGGCUCACCAAGGCGACGAUCUCUAGCUGUUCUGAGAGGAAGAUCAGCCACACUGGGACUGAGACACGGCCCAGACUCCUACGGGAGGCAGCAGUGGGGAAUAUUGCACAAUGGGGGGAACCCUGAUGCAGCCAUGCCGCGUGUGUGAAGAAGGCCUUCGGGUUGUAAAGCACUUUCAGACGUGAGGAAAGGUUGAUGGUUAAUAGCUGUCAGCUGUGACGUUAGCGUCAGAAGAAGCACCGGCUAACUCCGUGCCAGCAGCCGCGGUAAUACGGAGGGUGCGAGCGUUAAUCGGAAUUACUGGGCGUAAAGCGCACGCAGGCGGAUUGUUAAGCUAGAGGUGAAAGCCCCGCGCUCAACGUGGGAAUAGCCUUUAGAACUGGCAGUCUAGAGUCUUGGAGAGGGGGGUGGAAUUCCAGGUGUAGCGGUGAAAUGCGUAGAGAUCUGGAGGAACAUCAGUGGCGAAGGCGACUCCCUGGCCAAAGACUGACGCUCAUGUGCGAAAGUGUGGGUAGCGAACAGGAUUAGAUACCCUGGUAGUCCACACCGUAAACGCUGUCUACUAGCUGUGUGUGAAUUUAAUUUGUGCGUAGCGAAGCUAACGCGCUAAGUAGACCGCCUGGGGAGUACGGCCGCAAGGUUAAAACUCAAAUGAAUUGACGGGGGCCCGCACAAGCGGUGGAGCAUGUGGUUUAAUUCGAUGCAACGCGAAGAACCUUACCUACACUUGACAUGCAGAGAAGUUAGCAGAGAUGCUUUCGUGCCUUCGGGAACUCU